This is a non-coding RNA of Caenorhabditis elegans, 140 nucleotides long. Lineage: Eukaryota; Metazoa; Nematoda; Chromadorea; Rhabditida; Rhabditidae. The record is from Ensembl.
CUCCUCUCCAUCCAGCCGUCGUGUAUUUUUCUCUACGCCUCAUGAACUAUUUUCAUCAACUCGCCAAUUCAUAAGCCCCCUUGGCUUAAAUGAAUGCGAGGGUCCCUUUUUCUGUCAAUUUUUUUUCUCGCCUCUGCUCA